Molecule: ribosomal RNA, 465 nt
Filed under: Vreelandella stevensii
Lineage: Bacteria; Pseudomonadati; Pseudomonadota; Gammaproteobacteria; Oceanospirillales; Halomonadaceae
Description: partial 16S ribosomal RNA
Rfam family: Bacterial small subunit ribosomal RNA
Source: RNAcentral
CCUACGGGAGGCUGCCGUGGGGAAUAUUGGACAAUGGGCGAAAGCCUGAUCCAGCCAUGCCGCGUGUGUGAAGAAGGCCUUCGGUUUGUAAAGCACUUUCAGUGGGGAAGAAAGCCUUGGGGCUAAUACCCUCGAGGAAGGACAUCACCCACAGAAGAAGCACCGGCUAACUCCGUGCCAGCAGCCGCGGUAAUACGGAGGGUGCGAGCGUUAAUCGGAAUUACUGGGCGUAAAGCGCGCGUAGGCGGUCUGAUAAGCCGGUUGUGAAAGCCCCGGGCUCAACCUGGGAACGGCAUCCGGAACUGUCAGGCUAGAGUGCAGGAGAGGAAGGUAGAAUUCCCGGUGUAGCGGUGAAAUGCGUAGAGAUCGGGAGGAAUACCAGUGGCGAAGGCGGCCUUCUGGACUGACACUGACGCUGGGGUGCGAAAGCGUGGGUAGCAAACAGGAUUAGAUACCCCAGUAGUC